Molecule: ribosomal RNA, 220 nt
Filed under: uncultured bacterium
Lineage: Bacteria
Description: partial 16S ribosomal RNA
Rfam family: Bacterial small subunit ribosomal RNA
Source: RNAcentral
UACGUAGGGUGCAAGCGUUGUCCGGAAUUAUUGGCGUAAAGAGCUCGUAGGCGGUCUGUCGCGUCUGCUGUGAAAACUCAGGGCUUAACCCUGAGCUUGCAGUGGGUACGGGCAGACUAGAGUGCGGUAGGGGAGACUGGAAUUCCUGGUGUAGCGGUGAAAUGCGCAGAUAUCAGGAAGAACACCCGUGGCGAAGGCGGCUCUCUGGGACGGUACUGAC